GUAAUGGUGCAUCUGCUUUAGCAGAUCCUGGAAUCCUGGUUGUGAGGUAAGUACCUGGAUGCUUAUAUGGAGACACUGCUACCCUAGUUGUUUCUCAUAGUUUCUUUGAUUCUCAUUUCUCAGGAAAACUGCUAAGAAGAAAGACACUAAAAGCUUUAUAUUUUAAUUUCUUUUAGCUCAUUCUUGAAUCUCUAAAUGAAGUGACCAGAGGGCUGUUGAAUAUCACAUUUCUAGUUUCUGGUCUGUUUAAAACUCAAUUUGGUGACUGCUUCCUUUAAUGUGGGUGCACCUGCCUUUGGUUAUGUCUAAGUCAAAUUUGAGGAGAAGUGAAACUUCGAUCACUCUACCUUUGGUUGUUACACUGUUUUAGGGUAUGAUUUCCCUUGCCUUGGCCACCCCUAACCAGUCAGUGAGAAACAAGCUAAGGCAGGAUAGAAGCUGUGUGCUGAUGCAUGAAUGUUGGUGUCAGCACUUUUGGCAUCUGAGGGCGCUGGAGGGCAGAAGGAAUAUAAGGAUUGAGCAGCAGAAAGGAUCCCAGUGAGCAGUGCGCUGUGUGAGCUGGCCAUGACAGCCGUGUUCUCCCCACCCCUGACUCCUUACAGCUCCAGUCAAUCUCAGUCAUCUUA
This 626-nucleotide long non-coding RNA is filed under the name Rattus norvegicus (Norway rat). Its description in RNAcentral is "long non-coding RNA NONRATT026886". The record is from RNAcentral. Lineage: Eukaryota; Metazoa; Chordata; Mammalia; Rodentia; Muridae.